RNAcentral lists this ribosomal RNA (921 nucleotides) under uncultured bacterium. Its description in RNAcentral is "bacterial SSU rRNA". It matches the Rfam family "Bacterial small subunit ribosomal RNA", at positions 33 to 956 of the family's 1533-position model. The record is from RNAcentral.
ACGCUGGCGGCGUGCCUAACACAUGCAAGUCGAACGAGAUGCGUAUUGGAAAGCUUCGGCCGGAAGAUGCGUUAUCUAGUGGCGGACGGGUGAGUAACACGUGGGUAACCUGCCUUAUGGAGGGGGAUAACAGAGAGAAAUCACUGCUAAUACCGCAUAAGCACACAUUGCCGCAUGGCAGAGUGUGAAAAGAUUUAUCGCCAUAAGAUGGACCCGCGUCUGAUUAGCCAGUUGGCAGGGUAAAAGCCUACCAAAGCAACGAUCAGUAGCCGAUCUGAGAGGAUGACCGGCCACAUUGGGACUGAGACACGGCCCAAACUCCUACGGGAGGCAGCAGUGGGGAAUAUUGCACAAUGGGGGAAACCCUGAUGCAGCGACGCCGCGUGAGUGAAGAAGUAUUUCGGUAUGUAAAGCUCUAUCAGCAGGGAAGAUAAUGACAGUACCUGACUAAGAAGCCCCGGCUAACUACGUGCCAGCAGCCGCGGUAAUACGUAGGGGGCAAGCGUUAUCCGGAUUUACUGGGUGUAAAGGGAGCGUAGACGGAAUGGCAAGUCUGAAGUGAAAACCCCGGGCUCAACCUGGGGACUGCUUUGGAAACUGUUGUUCUAGAGUGUUGGAGAGGUAAGUGGAAUUCCUGGUGUAGCGGUGAAAUGCGUAGAUAUCAGGAAGAACACCGGAGGCGAAGGCGGCUUACUGGACAAUAACUGACGUUGAGGCUCGAAAGCGUGGGGAUCAAACAGGAUUAGAUACCCUGGUAGUCCACGCUGUAAACGAUGAAUACUAGGUGUCGGGGAGCAAAGCUUCUCGGUGCCGUCGCUAACGCAAUAAGUAUUCCACCUGGGGAGUACGUUCGCAAGAAUGAAACUCAAAGGAAUUGACGGGGACCCGCACAAGCGGUGGAGCAUGUGGUUUAAUUCGAAG